This is a long non-coding RNA of Ictalurus punctatus (channel catfish), 2045 nucleotides long. RefSeq lists it as uncharacterized. The transcript has 2 exons. Lineage: Eukaryota; Metazoa; Chordata; Actinopteri; Siluriformes; Ictaluridae. The record is from RefSeq and is a predicted model, not a curated record.
CACACACACACACACACACAAACACACACAGUGUUUAUUUGCAUGAGUGAGACAGCCAGUACUGCUACAGACGAGCACCAUGCUGAAGAGCUACAAAGUUCAGGAUGACUGAAAAACGGUUUUUAACUCCAUCUUAAAUCUGAUCCUCGUUCCACAUGCACACCUAUUCUGGGAAGCGGUGAGAAAAUAGCCACAAACAUCCUCGGUAAGGAGAGAAGGUAUAUUUUUACGAGUGUUAAUCGCAGGGUAUGCCUGACCCCUGUGUGUGUGUGUGUGUGUGUGUGUUUGUGCAUCUGUGUCAAAACAGUCAAUACACUAAACAACAGUAUGCAACUAUUUAUAUCAUUUAUUCUAUAAAUAAGCAUUCGAUUAUGACUUCAGAGCAUUAUUAUUACUAUUGCAUGAUUAUUAUUACUCAUAAAAAUCAGACACACAUUAAACACCCUAUUGCACUUCUGCAAAAAGUCCCCGAAUCGCUUCUAGACUCUUCUUCUAACCUGAAAUUUGCUUUGCAAAGAGACACACCGACUUAGUUAACAUAUAUUGAACAGGAUCGCACGCAUUCGUUCUGCGGACAUGAACUCACACGCAGUUCUCUGGUCAUCUGUAGACAACAUAUGUGUACACACCUUUGACAUUAUACUAUUAAGUUAAACACGUAGUCAUGACUCAGGUACGAUUGGGUACAAACGCAUGACUCUAUACACAAGUGUUGCUUGUUGAAAAUUUAUGCAAAUAACAGCAACUUGUACUGUCUGUCUGUGUGCUUACCUCUGCUGUGUUGUUGCAGCGUCGUGAAAAACAAGGAAAGAAAAUUCCCUCUGUCUGAGGACAGUUUAUAUAGCUCAGCCACACAGGGGGCGUGUCCCACUCACAGAUUACAGAUAAGCCCCACCCCCUAUGAGAGGCCCCGCUCUCCCUCCACGCGCAUGCACACACACACACACACAGAGCAUAUGGUGUAGAUAAAAAGCCCAGUCACUGCUGGUUAAUUAAUAUCUUUCACAAACAUAAUGUAAUGUCACUGUUUGUGUUACACGACAACUGUUCCUUUCCGUAUAAGGAGUGUAGAAUCAAAUAAAACGUCAAAUUUAAUGGAAUAGAAUCAAGGGCAAGAAUCAAGUGCUCCCUGUAUUGUGACCAGGUACCAUUAUUUUCCCAGAAGAGCAAUGAUGAUCAUUUUAAUUUGAUAAACUGAAUAUUGUGUUUGUGUAACUGGUGUCAUUUAUUAUGUUAAUGUCAUCGUGCUGUUUAGCUUGCUAUGUAAUAAGCGUUCAAAGUGUACAACAAUAUAUCGUGGAAACCUGAAACGUUAGCUAUGUAAAGGGUACUGGAGUUUUCUUUUCUUAAUUCUAAAGACAAAGUGCCAUCAUUAGUUCUGAAUGGAUGACUACGAUAUGGCCACAACGCAGACGUUAGUUCCGUAUCUCUCGUUGCCAAGCUACCUCUCGUUACCUCAGCAUUAUGCUGAGCCUCAUAUUUGUAAAAUCACUUAGUUGUCCUUAGCCCAAAUGUUGUGUAAAGGAAUGAAAUUCUUUGCAACUUUCCUCACUUUCACUCGCAUUUAUAACGGCCUGGCACAACGUGAGGGUUCACAACGAACUCGGCGGGAGGAUAUGCACGUGAAUGUAACGUUAAUGGUCAAAAACUGGAACUGACGUUAGCCUAGCCUACUUCGUGGGUGUGCAAAUGUCAAAAGUUAAUUGACGUAUUUAAGGACAAACCAACCCAUGGUACGAUGCCUUCUAUACUAUGCUAAGGUUACCUACUGUUUAAGUAUCUAGUUACUUACUGUCUGAAAAAAAGCUCGUAUGUUCUGCUGCACUUUUCUACGCUUGGCUGCUGUCUCCAUUUCUUAGAGCCGGAGCGGCUAAAACAUAUCAACGAACUUGCGUUGAGUAUGGGCGCAACCACGCGUACAAUUGGAGGGAUAGAAUAGCAUAUAAUAGCAUAGAAUAUAACAUAACACAGCAGUAUAGAAUGAAAUAGAAUAGAGUUGAACAGAAAAGAUAACCAGCAGCUGGAUUUUUUUUUUUUUUUUUUUU